GUUAGAGACCUCAACUUAGGGAUAUUGAUAUUGAUGGCAUGACAACUAUUAGGCUCGAGUCUUAGUCUCCCUAUUAGUUUGUUGUCUCCCCGGUCUCUGGUUAGGAGAGUGUUGUACCCCUGUUAAGGGGAACUACGUCGCCCUGAUUCUCAUACCAGAUGAGAUACGUAGGCAGGAGAUUGAGCGAGAUCUCUCCGGGCAACCUUUUUUUCACUUUUUUUGUUUUUGUGUGUGUCAACCUUUUCUUUUUGCGUGUGUUCAACCUUUUCUUUG
RNAcentral lists this long non-coding RNA (273 nucleotides) under Lathyrus oleraceus (garden pea). RNAcentral describes it as "Pisum sativum (pea) long non-coding RNA (PSAT_LNC020847)". Lineage: Eukaryota; Viridiplantae; Streptophyta; Magnoliopsida; Fabales; Fabaceae. The record is from RNAcentral.